GCCUUUGAGCUUUUCACUACUCUACUAUCGAAUCUGCAAAUUCGGAUCUGUUCCUGAAAAGUUGAUAGUAUCUCUCAAAUCUCGCUUCUGAUUCAUUUUCCUUUUGUGUAAGUUUGUUUUUACGUCCACAUGCAUGUUUGAUUCGAUGUGGGAAUAAUUGGAUUUGGAUGUGCAGCUUUCUGGGAGAUAAAAUAUGAAGAAUUCCAUAUCUGAACAGAGUUUCUACA
This 227-nucleotide unclassified non-coding RNA is filed under the name Hevea brasiliensis (rubber tree). The record is from RNAcentral. Lineage: Eukaryota; Viridiplantae; Streptophyta; Magnoliopsida; Malpighiales; Euphorbiaceae.